This 377-nucleotide long non-coding RNA is filed under the name Lonchura striata (white-rumped munia). RNAcentral's name for it is "domestica (Bengalese finch) lncRNA (ENSLSDG00000003800.1)". The record is from RNAcentral. Lineage: Eukaryota; Metazoa; Chordata; Aves; Passeriformes; Estrildidae.
CCGGCAAGGGAGCGGCGGGGAGCGGGGAAAACCAACUCCGACACGUCGGAAGGCUCGAAUUCAGGGCGAAACCUCUCCCCCGAGGCUCCCUCGGUGUGAAGCAGAUGGAUCCUGGAGCCCAUCCCAGGCUGUAACUCUUGUUCAGGAGCCAGACAGGAAAACUGCAGGCAAACCAGACCCACAUCUCCCAACCUGGACAUCUGAUGGAGUCUCCUUCAGAGCACCCAGUCACUCGUGGGAACAAGUCCUCAACCCUACCCCUCCAAGGACAUGAAAGUUAGGUGGUGGCAGGAGAAUUCAGAAUUGGAGAAAGAAUGGACUGAACAGAAGCAUUACAACAUAAAAAAACGCAUUUAAAAAAAUGGGCAUUUUGUGUU